RNAcentral lists this ribosomal RNA (752 nucleotides) under uncultured Pseudomonas sp. Its description in RNAcentral is "bacterial SSU rRNA". It matches the Rfam family "Bacterial small subunit ribosomal RNA", at positions 28 to 776 of the family's 1533-position model. Lineage: Bacteria; Pseudomonadati; Pseudomonadota; Gammaproteobacteria; Pseudomonadales; Pseudomonadaceae. The record is from RNAcentral.
AUUGAACGCUGGCGGCAGGCCUAACACAUGCAAGUCGAGCGGUAGAGAGGAGCUUGCUCCUCUUGAGAGCGGCGGACGGGUGAGUAAUGCCUAGGAAUCUGCCUGGUAGUGGGGGAUAACGUUCGGAAACGGACGCUAAUACCGCAUACGUCCUACGGGAGAAAGCAGGGGACCUUCGGGCCUUGCGCUAUCAGAUGAGCCUAGGUCGGAUUAGCUAGUUGGUGAGGUAAUGGCUCACCAAGGCGACGAUCCGUAACUGGUCUGAGAGGAUGAUCAGUCACACUGGAACUGAGACACGGUCCAGACUCCUACGGGAGGCAGCAGUGGGGAAUAUUGGACAAUGGGCGAAGGCCUGAUCCAGCCAUGCCGCGUGUGUGAAGAAGGUCUUCGGAUUGUAAAGCACUUUAAGUUGGGAGGAAGGGCAGUUACCUAAUACGUGAUUGUUUUGACGUUACCGACAGAAUAAGCACCGGCUAACUCUGUGCCAGCAGCCGCGGUAAUACGUAGGUCCCGAGCGUUGUCCGGAUUUAUUGGGCGUAAAGCGAGCGCAGGUGGUUUAUUAAGUCUGGUGUAAAAGGCAGUGGCUCAACCAUUGUAUGCAUUGGAAACUGGUAGACUUGAGUGCAGGAGAGGAGAGUGGAAUUCCAUGUGUAGCGGUGAAAUGCGUAGAUAUAUGGAGGGACACCGGUGGCGAAAGCGGCUCUCUGGCCUGUAACUGACACUGAGGCUCGAAAGCGUGGGGAGCAAACAGG